GAUGAACGCUGGCGGCGUGCCUAAUACAUGCAAGUCGAGCGAACAGACGAGGAGCUUGCUCCUCUGACGUUAGCGGCGGACGGGUGAGUAACACGUGGAUAACCUACCUAUAAGACUGGGAUAACUUCGGGAAACCGGAGCUAGUACCGGAUAAUAUAUUGAACCGCGUGGUUCAAUAGUGAAAGACGGUUUUGCUGUCACUUAUAGAUGGAUCCGCGCCGCAUUAGCUAGUUGGUAAGGUAACGGCUUACCAAGGCAACGAUGCGUAGCCGACCUGAGAGGGUGAUCGGCCACACUGGAACUGAGACACGGUCCAGGCUCCUACGGGAGGCAGCAGUAGGGAAUCUUCCGCAAUGGGCGAAAGCCUGACGGAGCAACGCCGCGUGAGUGAUGAAGGUCUUCGGAUCGUAAAACUCUGUUAUUAGGGAAGAACAAAUGUGUAAGUAACUAUGCACGUCUUGACGGUACCUAAUCAGAAAGCCACGGCUAACUACGUG
Molecule: ribosomal RNA, 497 nt
Filed under: uncultured bacterium
Lineage: Bacteria
Description: partial 16S ribosomal RNA
Rfam family: Bacterial small subunit ribosomal RNA
Source: RNAcentral